AAAAACUCAGAUCUGGAAAUGUCUCAAUUUUUUUUAGGAGGUCAUGUUUCUAGAGAAUACAAAAAGUAUUCUCUAUAAGAUACCUGUAGUUAAUCAAGAGGAUUACCUUGCCUUGAAUUGCCUUCAGUCAUCCUCAGUUAUCCAGAGUUUCCCCUUAUAAUUAGUUGUCCAAUUGACGACUGAUGACUAGCAACUGGCAACUAGUAACUGGAAAAUAUUUCUAUGACCAAUGAGUUAACCAAUAGCUAGCGAGAUGAUGACGAACAGCAAUGGAUCGUGGCGGAGUUUUUUUCAUUCUCGUAAAGUCAAGGAUAUAUACUCUCCUUUUAAUCCUGUUUCUUUUUCGAUAAACGCUCCCCUUUUAUCUUCGUCGAUUUCUAUGCGCAGAAAACACUCCAAAGUGGUCGAGAGAAAGAAGAGAAAAAGAUGAGAAGAGAGAAAGAGGGAGAAGUGAAGGGAGGGGGAGAAUGGCUGUUCUCCAGAGAUCAAGUUAGAGUACCACCACAAAAAACCUGUCCCGCAUAAUUACAUUAUCGGUCACAUCUCGCUCGACUUCUGUCCGCACGACUGUCUCAAGCUUCUGUAUCCCUCUCACUAUUGAACUCCCCACCAAUGUCUUCUUCUUCUUUUCUUCUCUUAAUUCUUUUUUUUUCCUCUUUUUCUUCUACUCAAAAGGGCGCGUAGGAUAUAACGAGGUACAGCCGUGAAAGGCUGCAGGGGGUCGUGUAUACGGUCGGAGGAGACUCAAAAUUUUUUUUUUUACAGCUAUAUACUGUUCCUUUUAUUCAAAAUCGAUAUAAACGAGUCUUUAAACAAGUUUCUUUUCUUUUGUUAAUUCGUUGUGGAUAAAUUGAUAUAUUUAAAUGUAUAAAUUUAAUUAAUAAUGUAAAAAAUACAGUAUUUCUUUUUUCCGUAUAGUUUCAAUAUUAUUUCAAAUUUCCAUACCGCCAUACCAUUAAUAUUUAUUGUUGUAUAUCUUGCGGGCUAUAAGGAAAAACGGUAAGAUAAAGAAAAGACAAUAGUAAUUUCGUUUGUAGAUUUUAUUUAUUUUUUUCUUUUCAUUGACAUGGGAGAUAUUGUACGGACGUACGUUUGGAAUGCGCAUUUUGAAAUCGUAGGAAAACGGGUAACUUAAAUAUUAAAAUGUAUUAUCUCUACGAAUUACAUAACGUGGUUUUUCUUUUAACAUAAUAUUAUAUCUUCGAUAAUAAUCGCUGUUCUUCUAAAAUAUGACAAAAGAGAGUAUAAACGGAUUGAAUAAUGUCUCUUGCGCUUUUCUACUUCGUAGAAAAUAAUUUGAAGAGAGAGUACAGUGAUGGUUUUCGAUAGUACUCCUCGCGUGCAUUUAUUCUUUUUAUUCGGAAAACAUAUUAUUAUUAUUAUUGUUAUUAUUAUUAUUAUUAUCCUAAUUAUAAUAAUUUAAUAUACAAUGAACAAUAUGAGUGAUGGAUAAACGCAUGUUAAGACAAAUGCAUUGAAUAUUUCUUAUUGUUUAACUCCCCUAUACUCUUUUUUUUCAGUCGGUGUUAUGCUUUGUACAAAUAACAUGCGCUAUCCAAUCGUUUCACGAUGAAAUACUAUUCAAUAAUAAGUCGUACAUUUUAUAUAUUAUAUAUAUACAUAUAUAUAUCCAAUAUAUAUGUAUAUAUCCAAUUGCAUAAAACAUAAAGCAAAAGAAUAUGUUAGUUUCUAUAUAACGUUUUCAACUUCAUAACAAAUAUUAUAUGCACGUGAACAAAGUAAAUAUUACAAAAAAAAAAAAA
Molecule: long non-coding RNA, 1763 nt
Organism: Vespa crabro (European hornet)
Lineage: Eukaryota; Metazoa; Arthropoda; Insecta; Hymenoptera; Vespidae
Exons: 2
Source: RefSeq, a predicted model, not a curated record